This 468-nucleotide ribosomal RNA is filed under the name uncultured bacterium. RNAcentral describes it as "partial 16S ribosomal RNA". It matches the Rfam family "Bacterial small subunit ribosomal RNA", at positions 28 to 507 of the family's 1533-position model. The record is from RNAcentral.
GACGAACGCUGGCGGCGUGCUUAACACAUGCAAGUCGAACGGCAAGGCCCUGCUUUUGUGGGGUGCUCGAGUGGCGAACGGGUGAGUAACACGUGAGUAACCUGCCCUUGACUUUGGGAUAACUUCAGGAAACUGGGGCUAAUACCGGAUAGGAGCUCCUGCUGCAUGGUGGGGGUUGGAAAGUUUCGGCGGUUGGGGAUGGACUCGCGGCUUAUCAGCUUGUUGGUGGGGUAGUGGCUUACCAAGGCUUUGACGGGUAGCCGGCCUGAGAGGGUGACCGGCCACAUUGGGACUGAGAGACGGCCCAGAGGCCUACGGGAGGCAGCAGGGGGAAAUAUUGCACAAUGGGCGGAAGCCUGAUGCAGCAACGCCGCGUGCGGGAUGACGGCCUUCGGGUUGUAAACCGCUUUCGCCUGUGACGAAGCGUGAGUGACGGUAAUGGGUAAAGAAGCACCGGCUAACUACGUG